UUUCGGGCGCCAUAUUUUUUUCUCUGUGGAUUCUCUUGAACCAACCAGCAAGAACUAUGUGUUCGGGAUUUUUCUUCUUUUAAUCCGACCUUCCAAGUGGAGGGAUACAAAGUCCUCCGUCACGAGGGUAAACCGUGUCGCGCUGAGAAGCACUUUUCUUCAUGUGGAUGCACUCUGAACCACAGAAGUUUGUAUUUCAAUGUAAGUGAUGAUUUUUAUUGUAGUAUGAUCUUUUAAAGUUAUAAAACUGCUGUUGUUAUGUAUAUUCAAGUGCUGGAAGCUCCGCGCUAACGCUAGCUGGAUUGGCAAUUAUUGGUGACGUCAUCGAACAAAAGUAACAUCCGAAAUAUGAGACAGCAUUUUUUCAUAACUCUCCGUUUGGAGGGCUAAAUGAAGGGGAAGGAAGAAGGGAAGAAUUUGGAUUGGACCUAACUUUUUCAUUGGUGUAAUUUCUUUUAAAUAGGCUACUAAAAAUGUUUUAAAUGUCUUCUUUUAAAAAAAAUCUAUUUAGAUUUAGACUCAGAACAUCACAGAUACUGAAAUCAUCCAGAAAAAUCUGUCCACCCGUGAACGACUUUCAAAAAUGUCAUAAUUUGGCAACACUGUCAUAUACAGUAUAUAUAUACACUGUAUAUGACAGUGUUGCCAAAUUGGAAAGUUUCCCACCCAAAUUAUGCAAGAGAAUCUGGCCACAGAGAAAAAAAUAUGGUGCUUGAAAAUUAAUAGCCGGAAGUCCCUCCCCCUGCCGGAGCCGGCGGCAAAGAAAUAUAAUUUGCGGCCGUAAUCAUUGGCUGUAAGGCAUCGACGGAAACCCCCAGUUUUAAGCUUUCUACCUUUUUUCCCUUUGCCACACCGUAACUGCCUACGUGAUUACCCGAUCCACCAAGAAAAAGCGAAAUUUCUGGUAAAUUGCAGCUAAAUGGACUUUAGGCUUGUAUGAACCCCUCAAUUUAUUUUAAACUCUUUGCUGUAGAUAAUGAAGGAAAACUGAGAUGAAAUAUUUAUGUCAUCACAAUAGUAUCAAUACUUCACCUUGGUGCAGCUGCUACUCCUUUAAAACGUUUUGUUUUUAUGUUGUAAUUUAAUAUAUAGGCCUAAGUUAAAAAAAAA
This is a long non-coding RNA of Oryzias melastigma (Indian medaka), 1110 nucleotides long. RefSeq lists it as uncharacterized. The transcript has 2 exons. The record is from RefSeq and is a predicted model, not a curated record. NCBI's taxonomy places the organism in Eukaryota, Metazoa, Chordata, Actinopteri, Beloniformes, Adrianichthyidae.